RNAcentral lists this ribosomal RNA (459 nucleotides) under uncultured bacterium. Its description in RNAcentral is "SSU rRNA". It matches the Rfam family "Bacterial small subunit ribosomal RNA", at positions 26 to 518 of the family's 1533-position model. The record is from RNAcentral.
AGAAUCAACGCUGGCGGCGUGCCUAACACAUGCAAGUCGAACGAGAAAGUGGAGCAAUCCAUGAGUAAAGUGGCGCACGGGUGAGUAACACGUGACUAACCUACCCUUGAGUGGGGGAUAACCUAGGGAAACCUGGGCUAAUACCGCAUAAUACCUUCGGGUCAAAGGAGCAAUUCGCUUAAGGAGGGGGUCGCGGCCGAUUAGUUAGUUGGCGGGGUAAUGGCCCACCAAGACUAUGAUCGGUAUCCGGCCUGAGAGGGCGCACGGACACACUGGAACUGAAACACGGUCCAGACUCCUACGGGAGGCAGCAGUGGGGAAUUUUGCGCAAUGGGGGAACCCUGACGCAGCAACGCCGCGUGGAGGAUGAAGUCCCUUGGGACGUAAACUCCUUUCGAUCGGGACGAUUAUGACGGUACCGAGAGAAGAAGCCCCGGCUAACUUCGUGCCAGCAGCCGC